This is a long non-coding RNA of Cryptotermes secundus, 1138 nucleotides long. RefSeq lists it as uncharacterized. The record is from RefSeq and is a predicted model, not a curated record. NCBI's taxonomy places the organism in Eukaryota, Metazoa, Arthropoda, Insecta, Blattodea, Kalotermitidae. The transcript has 5 exons.
UGUAUCUCUGAAAUACAUGAUGACGGUGAAAUGAGACGUGGAAGCUGGCAUGAGAAUUCAUUUCCCUUUGCACUGACUGAUAAUUUCACUGGUCGUCAUCAUCGUCAUCAACAAUAAGGUUAGAAUCAGGGGGUUGAAACUGGGAUAGGAGAAAGGUAAUUACUGCCCUUAUAAACGAAGGCAGAAACUACACACAGAUCUCGACGAUCUCGGCCAAUCGGAGAGCCUAAACAAACCAAUUUGAAUUCCCGCAAUUAUGAGCGGUUAUUUAGUGUCGUCAUAUUGAAACGGUAGAAACAAAAACGAAAACGAGCUGCUGCUGGCUGCUUGUCAUCCAGCAGGCAAGGAAUGAAAUUCUUCAACUUUCCGAAGGAUCCAGCACGGGCUGCGGUAUGGGCAGGAAAAGUUGGAAUAUCCUGCACUAUUGAUUCUGCUAGAAGGCUACACAAUAAAUAUUUGUGCAGCAUGCAUUUCCUGGACAGUGAUUUCACUACAGCUGAAAGGGGUGCUGCAGCGAAAACCUUGCGACAGCUGCGUUUGUUGAAGAGGUUGACCACUCUUUGCUAGUUUCAAUAGUGGAACAUGUGUUAACCCUUGGAAAACACUGUGUUGCCCGCUCAACGAUAACAGUCCCCAUAUAGAGCACUGGAAAAGGGCAAGUAUGGGGAUAAAGAGUUGGAUCUUCCUCAAGGAUGGUAAACCCGCCUUUCUUCAACCUCCUCCUUCACAGAAUGGGUGGCUAAUUGACAUCACUGCUGCCCAGCAUCUGGAGGUCACUGAAAGAGGUGGGUUAAACUCUUAUUAGAGGUGCAGCUGCAAUUCUGCAGUUGGGUUAUGGUUGAACAUGUCUGUGCUUCAGCUCUGAGGUGGUUGUAAAUGUAAACCCGUCACUGUGAUUGAAAGAAUUAACAAACUCACGGCCUGUGACUCACCAGCACGAGACUUCAAGUGACUCGUCUGCCAUAAGAGGAAGGAGUUGUUGCUGUACAGUCAUAGCGAGCAAGUCACAGCAUUUCUCUGACGUCCAUUAUGCUGUCCUAUCAUCCAUGCUUUGUGCUUUCAGAUAGCGUUUUCUCUUGAGGUUAUGCCACAAAAAUCUGCAUGUCAAGACUGAAGUGAAGAAAUCUGGGAAUGUCAA